UUCCGGUUGAUCCUGCCGGACCCGACUGCUAUCAGAGUGGGACUAAGCCAUGCGAGUCAACGCCGCAAGGCGUGGCAUACGGCUCAGUAACACGUAGUCAACAUGCCCAAGGGACGUGGAUAACCUCGGGAAACUGAGGAUAAACCGCGAUAGGCCAAGAUUUCUGGAAUGGAUCAUGGCUGAAAUCUACAUGGCCCUUGGAUUGGACUGCGGCCGAUCAGGCUGUUGGUGAGGUAAUGGCCCACCAAACCUAUAACCGGUACGGGCUUUGAGAGAAGGAGCCCGGAGAUGGGCACUGAGACAAGGGCCCAGGCCCUAUGGGGCGCAGCAGGCGCGAAACCUCUGCAAUAGGCGAAAGCUUGACAGGGUUACUCUGAGUGAUUUCCGUUAAGGAGAUCUUUUGGCACCUCUAAAAAUGGUGCAGAAUAAGGGGUGGGCAAGUCUGGUGUCAGCCGCCGCGGUAAUACCAGCACCUCAAGUGGUCAGGAGGAUUAUUGGGCCUAAAGCAUCCGUAGCCGGCUCUGCAAGUUUUCGGUUAAAUCCACUUGCUCAACAAAUGGGCUGCCGAAAAUACUACAUAGCUAGGGAGUGGGAGAGGUAGACGGUAUUCGGUAGGAAGGGGUAAAAUCCUUUGAUCUAUUGAGGACCACCUAUGGCGAAGGCAGUCUACCAGAACACGUUCGACGGUGAGGGAUGAAAGCUGGGGGAGCAAACCGGAUUAGAUACCCGGGUAGUCCCAGCUGUAAACGAUGCAAACUCGGUGAUGCAUUGGCUUAUGGCCAAUGCAGUGCCGCAGGGAAGCCGUUAAGUUUGCCGCCUGGGAAGUACGGUCGCAAGUAUGAAACUUAAAGGAAUUGGCGGGGGAGCACCACAAGGGGUGAAGCCUGCGGUUCAAUUGGAUUCAACGCCGGA
This 912-nucleotide ribosomal RNA is filed under the name uncultured archaeon. Its description in RNAcentral is "bacterial SSU rRNA". It matches the Rfam family "Archaeal small subunit ribosomal RNA", at positions 1 to 922 of the family's 1478-position model. The record is from RNAcentral.